UCCGUAGGGUGACCUGCGGAGGGAUCAUUACACAAAUAUGAAGGCGGGCUGGAACCUCUCGGGGUUACAGCCUUGCUGAAUUAUUCACCCUUGUCUUUUGCGUACUUCUUGUUUCCUUGGUGGGUUCGCCCACCACUAGGACAAACAUAAACCUUUUGUAAUUGCAAUCAGCGUCAGUAACAAAUUAAUAAUUACAACUUUCAACAACGGAUCUCUUGGUUCUGGCAUCGAUGAAGAACGCAGCGAAAUGCGAUAAGUAGUGUGAAUUGCAGAAUUCAGUGAAUCAUCGAAUCUUUGAACGCACAUUGCGCCCUUUGGUAUUCCAAAGGGCAUGCCUGUUCGAGCGUCAUUUGUACCCUCAAGCUUUGCUUGGUGUUGGGCGUCUUGUCUCUAGCUUUGCUGGAGACUCGCCUUAAAGUAAUUGGCAGCCGGCCUACUGGUUUCGGAGCGCAGCACAAGUCGCACUCUCUAUCAGCAAAGGUCUAGCAUCCAUUAAGCCUUUUUUUCAACUUUUGACCUCGGAUCAGGUAGGGAUACCCGCUGAACUUAAGCAUAUCAUA
RNAcentral lists this ribosomal RNA (560 nucleotides) under Alternaria brassicae. RNAcentral's name for it is "eukaryotic LSU rRNA". The stretch from base 196 to 349 matches the Rfam family "5.8S ribosomal RNA". The record is from RNAcentral. Lineage: Eukaryota; Fungi; Ascomycota; Dothideomycetes; Pleosporales; Pleosporaceae.